UUGGAGGGCAAGUCUGGUGCCAGCAGCCGCGGUAAUUCCAGCUCCAAUAGCGUAUAUUAAAGUUGUUGCAGUUAAAAAGCUCGUAGUUGAAUUUCGGGAUCAAUGUUUCGGUCAUGCCGUUGGUAUGUACUGAUAUUAUUGGUUUCUCACCUUCUAAAGAACCGUAAUGCCAUUAAUUUGGUGUCACGGGGAAUUAGGACUGUUACCUUGAAAAAAUUAGAGUGUUUAAAGCAGGCUCACGCUUGAAUACAUUAGCAUGGAAUAAUGAAAUAGGACAUCCGAUUCUAUUUUGUUGGUUUCUAGGAUCGAUGUAAUGAUUAAUAGGGAUAGUUGGGGGCAUUAGUAUUCAAUUGUCAGAGGUGAAAUUCUUGGAUUUAUUGAAGACUAACUACUGCGAAAGCAUUUGCCAAGGAUGUUUUCAUUAAUCAGUGAACGAAAGUUAGGGGAUCGAAGACGAUCAGAUACCGUCGUAGUCUUAACCGUAAACUAUGCCGACUAGGGAUCGGGCGAUGUUCUUUUUCUGACUCGCUCGGCACCUUACGGGAAACCAAAG
RNAcentral lists this ribosomal RNA (553 nucleotides) under uncultured Glomus. RNAcentral's name for it is "SSU rRNA". It matches the Rfam family "Eukaryotic small subunit ribosomal RNA", at positions 548 to 1103 of the family's 1831-position model. Lineage: Eukaryota; Fungi; Glomeromycota; Glomeromycetes; Glomerales; Glomeraceae. The record is from RNAcentral.